GACGAACGCUGGCGGCGUGCUUAACGCAUGCAAGUCGAGCGGUAAGGCCCUUUCGGGGUACGACGAGCGGCGAACGGGUGAGUAACACGUGGGUGACCUGCCCUCAGCUCUGGGAGUAAGCCUGGGAAACGUGGGUCUAAUAACUGGAUAUGACUCCACGGUGCAUGUCGUGGGGUGGAAAGCCUUGUGCGGCUGAGGAUGGGCCCGCGGCCUAUCAGCUUGUUGGUGGGGUGAUGGCCUACCAAGGCGACGACGGGUAGCCGGCCUGAGAGGGCGACCGGCCACACUGGGACUGAGACGCGGCCCAGACUCCUACGGGAGGCAGCAGUGGGGAAGUCUUGCGCAAUGGGCGAAAGCCUGAC
This 362-nucleotide ribosomal RNA is filed under the name uncultured bacterium. Its description in RNAcentral is "bacterial SSU rRNA". It matches the Rfam family "Bacterial small subunit ribosomal RNA", at positions 28 to 387 of the family's 1533-position model. The record is from RNAcentral.